RNAcentral lists this ribosomal RNA (253 nucleotides) under uncultured bacterium. Its description in RNAcentral is "partial 16S ribosomal RNA". It matches the Rfam family "Bacterial small subunit ribosomal RNA", at positions 524 to 776 of the family's 1533-position model. The record is from RNAcentral.
UACAGAGGUCUCAAGCGUUGUUCGGAUUCAUUGGGCGUAAAGGGUGCGUAGGCGGCGCGGUAAGUCGGGUGUGAAAUCUCGGAGCUUAACUCCGAAACUGCAUUCGAUACUGCCGUGCUUGAGGACUGGAGAGGAGACUGGAAUUUACGGUGUAGCGGUGAAAUGCGUAGAUAUCGUAAGGAAGACCAGUGGUGAAGGCGGGUCUCUGGACAGUUCCUGACGCUGAAGCACGAAGGUCAGGGGAGCAAACGGG